Molecule: long non-coding RNA, 815 nt
Filed under: Monodelphis domestica (gray short-tailed opossum)
Lineage: Eukaryota; Metazoa; Chordata; Mammalia; Didelphimorphia; Didelphidae
Description: lncRNA (ENSMODG00000039646.1)
Source: RNAcentral
UUGUGCUCCUUGACAGAGAUUCUAUGGCUACACUACUAAGAAUUCUCAUUUCUAAGUACCUAAGAAAACUUGAAUAAUUCCCAGAGUUUCCAUGAAAGUGAGCUUUCCAAUUUCACUUUAUAUAAUCCACAAAUUGUGACCCUUUGACAAGAAACAUAGAAUGUGAUGCAACAUCCUGAAGUGACCCUAGAGAGUCAAUCAGACCUUUAGCAAGUAAACAAGAAAAAAUCAUGUACUAUAUGAGAUACAGAAGAGGACUUCCGGGUAAACAUGGCUGCAAUCUAGAUGCAAAUCGCUUCCUCUCCCCUGGAACUGAAUGAAAUAGACUACCUCUCCAGUAUGCCACAGCAAGGAAGUGUUGUUAUAGUGGGCAGUAAGGUAACUCAGUGGAUUGAAAGACAGACAGGUGGUCUUGCGUUCAAAUGUGGAUUCAGAUACUUUCUAGCGGUGUGACCCUAGGUAAGUCACUUAACUCCCAUUACCUAGCCUUUACACUCUUUUACCUUGGAAUCAAUACAAUAGUAUUGAUUCUAAGAUGGAAAUUAAAGGUUUUUUGUUUCUUUUUAAAGAAAGCUAUAUAAAUUGUGAUCCUAACACCAUUCUCGUCAGGGCAUAGCUGUUCAUCUACACCUUCCCAAGAUUCUCAAAAUCUCUCUCUUUCAUUAUUUCUUACAGCAAAAUCAUAUCCCAUUAUAUCCAUGUAUCAUGCCUUUGCAAUCAUUCCAGAACUGAUAGACACAUUGUUUUCUGUUUUUGAUACAACAAAAAGAAAACAGAAAAAUAAAUAGUUAGAGGAAAAAAUGUAUGCUUCUGGA